UCAAAGCUCUGUCACUGUUCAACGACCAAACCCCCUUGACCACUCCACCGUCGUUCGCCGUUGAACGGCCACCGGAGGUCCACCAAGAGGCGGCGCCGCCGUUGAACCCCCUUCAUUUCAUCAUUUUUUGGGUACUUAUACAACUUUUAUUGAACUUGGUUAUAUGAUUCAUUUUGUGUGCAAUUAUUUGUUUGNAGGAGGAACUUCAAGACAUUAGGGAGAACUAUGUUUGUGAUCCUCAUAAUGUGAGGCGAAAAAGAACUCUUGCAAUAUAUUCAGUUCAUGUAUUACAUUUUGAUGAAACAAAUGUAUUAUUAAUAUUUAUUGGUAAUGCAAUUUGAACAUUACAAUGAUGAUUGUGUUAGAUUUCGUAAUGA
RNAcentral lists this long non-coding RNA (377 nucleotides) under Vigna radiata. RNAcentral's name for it is "long non-coding RNA (VRAD_LNC012464)". The record is from RNAcentral. Lineage: Eukaryota; Viridiplantae; Streptophyta; Magnoliopsida; Fabales; Fabaceae.